Molecule: ribosomal RNA, 639 nt
Filed under: Cypridopsis vidua
Lineage: Eukaryota; Metazoa; Arthropoda; Ostracoda; Podocopida; Cyprididae
Description: SSU rRNA
Rfam family: Eukaryotic small subunit ribosomal RNA
Source: RNAcentral
UGACCUAAUGGGCACCUUCGGGCAAACCAAAGUUUUUGGGUUCCGGGGGAAGUAUGGUUGCAAAGCUGGAACUUAAAGGAAUUGACGGAAGGGCACCACCAGGAGUGGAGCCUGUGGCUUAAUUUGACUCAACGCGGGGAAGCUCACGAGGCCCGGACACUGGAAGGAUUGACAGAUUGAGAGCUCUUUCUUGAUUCGGUGGGUGGUGGUGCAUGGCCGUUCUUAGUUGGUGGAGUGAUUUGUCUGGUUAAUUCCGAUAACGAACGAGACUCUGGCUUACUAAAUAGGCGGCGGAUCUUUGUAUCCGCUAUGUCUUCUUAGAGGGAUAAGGCAGCUCUAAGCUGCAUGAGAAGGGGCAAUAACAGGUCUGUGAUGCCCUUAGAUGUUCUCGGCCGCACACGCGCUACACUGAAAGAGGCAACGUGUUUGCCUGAUUCGAAAGAAUUGGGUAACCCCCUAAUCUCUUUCGUGCUGGGGAUUGAGGUUUGCAAUUAUCCUUCAUGAACGAGGAAUUCCCAGUAAGUGCGAGUCAUUAUCUCGCGCUGACUACGUCCCUGCCCUUUGUACACACCGCCCGUCGCUACUACCGAUUGAAUGAUUUAGUGAGGACUUCGGACUGAGUCCAAUGCGGCUUUCGGG